This 492-nucleotide ribosomal RNA is filed under the name uncultured bacterium. RNAcentral's name for it is "partial 16S ribosomal RNA". It matches the Rfam family "Bacterial small subunit ribosomal RNA", at positions 29 to 507 of the family's 1533-position model. The record is from RNAcentral.
AGUGAACGCUGGCGGUAGGCCUAACACAUGCAAGUCGAACGGCAGCACAGUAAGAGCUUGCUCUUACGGGUGGCGAGUGGCGGACGGGUGAGGAAUACAUCGGAAUCUACUUUUUCGUGGGGGAUAACGUAGGGAAACUUACGCUAAUACCGCAUACGACCUACGGUUGCAAGCAGGGGAUCUUCGGACCUUGCGCGAUUGAAUGAGCCGAUGUCGGAUUAGCUAGUUGGCGGGGUAAAGGCCCACCAAGGCGACGAUCCGUAGCUGGUCUGAGAGGAUGAUCAGCCACACUGGAACUGAGACACGGUCCAGACUCCUACGGGAGGCAGCAGUGGGGAAUAUUGGACAAUGGGCGCAAGCCUGAUCCAGCCAUACCGCGUGGGUGAAGAAGGCCUUCGGGUUGUAAAGCCCUUUUGUUGGGAAAGAAAAGCAGCAGGUUAAUACCCCGCUGUUCUGACGGUACCCAAAGAAUAAGCACCGGCUAACUUCGUG